RNAcentral lists this long non-coding RNA (590 nucleotides) under Vigna radiata. RNAcentral's name for it is "long non-coding RNA (VRAD_LNC014537)". Lineage: Eukaryota; Viridiplantae; Streptophyta; Magnoliopsida; Fabales; Fabaceae. The record is from RNAcentral.
CCUUACAUAGCCAAAUUUUCGCCCAAAGUAAAGAGAACCAUGUGUUCCACCCUUUUUGAACCUAAGCCUUAAACAGGAUGAAAACCCUUGCUUUGAAAAUCUUUACCUUGAGUUAGGUUGAGAAAUAUUUUGUGGUGUUGAUAAAGCUUCAAGUUUGGAGUUGUUAGGAGAAGAUGAAAGGUAAAAGAAAGGCAUCGAGCUCAAAGUGUUGAGUGAAAAAGAAAAAAAAAAGCAUGAGAAAAGAAAGAAAAAAAAAGAAAAAGAAUGAAAGGUGAGCUCAAUGUAAAAAACAAGAAAAAAGGGUAAAGUUAGGAAUGAGUGUGACACGCGGGGCCCAAGCCAUAUUUCUUUAGUUUAGUAUUUCUUUGAUAUAUUUUGUAUUGUGUUAGGCAUGUAGGACCUCUAGUCCUAUAAAUAGUCAUGCCUACCUUAUUGUACUUCACUUUUGAGAUAAUUGAAUUGUUUACUGUUGAGAAUCACUCCAGAACAAUUCUACCUUGAAAGUCAAGACUAGAGAAUCCCAAAAGAUCUCCUCUAGCCACCUUCCAUCUCACACUUACCAUUCUCUCAAUUUCCACAUCAGAUUUCUC